This 72-nucleotide transfer RNA is filed under the name Camelus bactrianus (Bactrian camel). It matches the Rfam family "tRNA". From Rfam's summary of the family: Transfer RNA (tRNA) molecules are approximately 80 nucleotides in length. Their secondary structure includes four short double-helical elements and three loops (D, anti-codon, and T loops). Lineage: Eukaryota; Metazoa; Chordata; Mammalia; Artiodactyla; Camelidae. RNAcentral also lists the same sequence under 2 other names. The record is from Rfam by way of RNAcentral.
GUCGGUAUAGCUCAGUGGUAGAGUGUAUGCUUAGCAUGCAUGAGGACCUGGGUUCUAUUCCCAUGACCUCCA